AAGUCGUAACAAGGUCUCCGUAGGUGAACCUGCGGAGGGAUCAUUACAACGUAUCCUACGUAUCAACCCUUUUUGUGAACCCGUUUUCUUUAACAACAAAGUCUGGAAUGAGUGAGACGUAACGCCUGGUUGACAAGCAUCAUAUAGAGAAGGAAGAGUAAGCUUUGAUCGUGUUCGAAGCUGAAUGGGAUGCUCCUGGCUCGCCUUUACCGGUCUCUCGUGUGAGACAUGCGUGAAAGGGGUUUCGCUUAUUUUGACUGACCUGUCUUCUUUCUCGAUUUAUUUACUUAUUUACCCUUUGUACCUACCAUGGAUUUACGGGUGAGGCGAAAGCCGAGCUCGACAAAAUAUUAAAAAACUAUAGCACAACUCUUAGCAACGGAUAUCUAGGCUCUC
Molecule: unclassified non-coding RNA, 396 nt
Filed under: fungal sp.
Lineage: Eukaryota; Fungi
Description: partial internal transcribed spacer region
Rfam family: Eukaryotic small subunit ribosomal RNA (bases 1-46)
Source: RNAcentral